Molecule: ribosomal RNA, 864 nt
Filed under: uncultured archaeon
Lineage: Archaea
Description: bacterial SSU rRNA
Rfam family: Archaeal small subunit ribosomal RNA
Source: RNAcentral
UGAUACUAAGCCAUGCGAGUCAUUGCAGUAAUGCAAGGCAGACGGCUCAGUAACGCGUAGUCAACCUACCCUAUGGACGGGAAUAACCUCGGGAAACUGAGUAUAAUGCCCGAUAGAACACUAUUCCUGGAAUGGUUUGUGUUCCAAAUGAUUUAUCGCCGUAGGAUGGGACUGCGGCCUAUCAGUUUGUUGGUGAGGUAAUGGCCCACCAAGACUAUUACAGGUACGGGCUCUGAGAGGAGUAGCCCGGAGAUGGGUACUGAGACACGGACCCAGGCCCUAUGGGGCGCAGCAGGCGAGAAAACUUUGCAAUGUGCGAAAGCACGACAAGGUUAAUCCGAGUGGUUUCUGCUAAAGGAACCUUUUGACAGUCCUAGAAACACUGUUGAAUAAGGGGUGGGCAAGUUCUGGUGUCAGCCGCCGCGGUAAAACCAGCACCUCAAGUGGUCAGGAUGAUCAUUGGGCCUAAAGCAUCCGUAGCCGGCUCUGUUAGUUUUCGGUUAAAUCUGUAUGCUCAACAUACAGGCUGCCGGGAAUACUGCAGAGCUAGGGAGUGGGAGAGGUAGACGGUACUCGGUAGGAAGGGGUAAAAUCCUUUGAUCUAUUGAUGACCACCUGUGGCGAAGGCGGUCUACCAGAACACGUCCGACGGUGAGGGAUGAAAGCUGGGGGAGCAAACCGGAUUAGAUACCCGGGUAGUCCCAGCUGUAAACUAUGCAAACUCAGUGAUGCAUUGGCUUGUGGCCAAUGCAGUGCUGCAGGGAAGCCGUUAAGUUUGCCGCCUGGGAAGUACGUACGCAAGUAUGAAACUUAAAGGAAUUGGCGGGGGAGCACCACAAGGGGUGAAGCCUGCGGUUCAAUUGG